CAAGAAUCAAGAUGGCGGCUGAGUCAAGAACUAGCAGGAAGUUGGGAUAAACAAAUACCCAAACUUGAUGUUCUACUUAAUUUYGAACAACUGCAACAAAUAAAUAUGGAUUCAUGGUCUCAAAUGGGUAAAAACGUGGACCUAAAAGAUUUGGAGGCACCCACGUCGUCAACUUGGUACCUUCAUCGGCCACACACGACGAAUAGGGAUAUCCCUGAUACACAGUAAUCAAUGUGACGAGAAAUAAAUGCGGGUCUGGUUCUCCUGAGGAUGCGAAGAAUUGCGCAAUCUGAAAAUCGACUAAAUAAAGAUUUUGUUUCAUUGAA
Actinia tenebrosa (Australian red waratah sea anemone) is the source of this 326-nucleotide long non-coding RNA. RefSeq lists it as uncharacterized. The record is from RefSeq and is a predicted model, not a curated record. Lineage: Eukaryota; Metazoa; Cnidaria; Anthozoa; Actiniaria; Actiniidae.